RNAcentral lists this ribosomal RNA (253 nucleotides) under uncultured bacterium. Its description in RNAcentral is "partial 16S ribosomal RNA". It matches the Rfam family "Bacterial small subunit ribosomal RNA", at positions 524 to 776 of the family's 1533-position model. The record is from RNAcentral.
UACGUAGGGUGCGAGCGUUGUCCGGAAUUAUUGGGCGUAAAGGGCUCGUAGGCGGCCUGCUACGUCUGCCGUGAAAUCCUGAGGCUUAACCUUAGGCGUGCGGUGGAUACGGGCGGGCUAGAGUCCGGUUGGGGAGACUGGAAUUCCUGGUGUAGCGGUGGAAUGCGCAGAUAUCAGGAGGAACACCGGUGGCGAAGGCGGGUCUCUGGGCCGGUACUGACGCUGAGGAGCGAAAGCGUGGGGAGCGAACAGG